This 601-nucleotide ribosomal RNA is filed under the name uncultured bacterium. RNAcentral describes it as "bacterial SSU rRNA". It matches the Rfam family "Bacterial small subunit ribosomal RNA", at positions 745 to 1350 of the family's 1533-position model. The record is from RNAcentral.
GCUAAAGCUCGAAGGUGCGGGUAUCGAACAGGAUUAGAUACCCUGGUAGUCCGCACGGUAAACGAUGGAUGCCCGCUGUUUGCGAUACACUGUGAGCGGCCAAGCGAAAGCGUUAAGCAUCCCACCUGGGGAGUACGCCGGCAACGGUGAAACUCAAAGGGAUUGACGGGGGCCCGCACAAGCGGAGGAACAUGUGGUUUAAUUCGAUGAUACGCGAGGAACCUUACCCGGGCUUGAACUGCAGGAGAACGAUACAGAGAUGUUGAGGUCCCUCGGGACUCCUGUGGAGGUGCUGCAUGGUUGUCGUCAGCUCGUGCCGUGAGGUGUCGGCUUAAGUGCCAUAACGAGCGCAACCCCUCUCCGUAGUUGCCAUCGGGUGAUGCCGGGCACUCUGCGGACACUGCCACCGUAAGGUGCGAGGAAGGUGGGGAUGACGUCAAAUCAGCACGGCCCUUACGUCCGGGGCUACACACGUGUUACAAUGGGUGGUACAGAGCGUCGGUGCUGCGCAAGCCGCAUCCAAUCAUGAAAGCCAUCCUCAGUUCGGACUGGGGUCUGCAACCCGACCCCACGAAGCUGGAUUCGCUAGUAAUCGCGCAUC